UGGGUAUAGCUCAGUGGUAGAGUGCGUGCUUAGCAUGCACGAGGUCCUGGGUUCAAUCCCCAGCACCUCAA
RNAcentral lists this transfer RNA (71 nucleotides) under Camelus bactrianus (Bactrian camel). It matches the Rfam family "tRNA". From Rfam's summary of the family: Transfer RNA (tRNA) molecules are approximately 80 nucleotides in length. Their secondary structure includes four short double-helical elements and three loops (D, anti-codon, and T loops). RNAcentral also lists the same sequence under 2 other names. The record is from Rfam by way of RNAcentral. Lineage: Eukaryota; Metazoa; Chordata; Mammalia; Artiodactyla; Camelidae.